GAUGAACGCUGGCGGCGUGCCUAAUACAUGCAAGUCGAGCGAACAGACGAGGAGCUUGCUCCUCUGACGUUAGCGGCGGACGGGUGAGUAACACGUGGAUAACCUACCUAUAAGACUGGGAUAACUUCGGGAAACCGGAGCUAAUACCGGAUAAUAUAUUGAACCGCAUGGUUCAAUAGUGAAAGACGGUUUUGCUGUCACUUAUAGAUGGAUCCGCGCCGCAUUAGCUAGUUGGUAAGGUAACGGCUUACCAAUGCAACGAUGCGUAGCCGACCUGAGAGGGUGAUCGGCCACACUGGAACUGAGACACGGUCCAUACUCCUACGGGAGGCAGCAGUAUGGAAUCUUCCGCAAUGGGCGAAAGCCUGACGGAGCAACGCCGCGUGAGUGAUGAAGGUCUUCGGAUCGUAAAACUCUGUUAUUAGGUAAGAACAAAUGUGUAAGUAACUAUGCACUUCUUGACGGUACCUAAUCAGAAAGCCACGGCUAACUACGUG
Molecule: ribosomal RNA, 497 nt
Filed under: uncultured bacterium
Lineage: Bacteria
Description: partial 16S ribosomal RNA
Rfam family: Bacterial small subunit ribosomal RNA
Source: RNAcentral